Long non-coding RNA from Triticum aestivum (bread wheat), 1660 nucleotides. RefSeq lists it as uncharacterized. The transcript is spliced from 4 exons. The record is from RefSeq and is a predicted model, not a curated record. NCBI's taxonomy places the organism in Eukaryota, Viridiplantae, Streptophyta, Magnoliopsida, Poales, Poaceae.
CUAAGGAUGUCAUGUAAGAAAAGCUUUAACGAAAUCACUUUGGUUUGUAAAUGUCCUUGAGGAUUGAAUUAAUAGAAACUAGCAAUUCUUCUGCCUAAACUGAUUCCUGCAAAUUUUCUUGCCGAACUACUACAUGGUAAUACUCCCUUCAUUCCAUAUUCUAAUGCACAUAGUUUUUUGCCUAGAUUCCGAAAUGUAGUGCGCAUAAGCUGCUUUGGACUAAAGUAGCCCUGGACUGUUCACAGGGACGCAGCAGCAGACACCCACGUGCUGUGACAGAGCGAGCAGCUGGAGGGCAAUUCUUGUCCAAAUGAGAAUGUCAGCUCAGGCAUUGGUAUAAACGCUACACACAAAGGCGCAUUAUAAAGUGGAACAGUGGGAGUACUAAAUUCAUAUGUAAUACUAAAUUCCUACAGGUCAUAAAUUGGGGUUUUCGACAAUAAGUACCUAAGUCUAUGUUAUGUUUAAGUUAAAAAACAAUGUCGAUGUGAGCCAUACAUACACCGAUUAAUAAAGCGGUUAGUACUUAACUUGACCGUCAUGUCCUAUGUGCCUUAGGGGUAAGUUUUCAUCUCCACCAUUGACCCGCUUAAGGUGGCUAUACUGAAGCAGACCCCAUAUAAUUAUGAAUGGUUUAUGAAGUUGAAGGAUGAAACUUGAAUGAACACAAUGUUGAGGUUUGUAAAGUGAAGCCUAAGACAAGUUUGAGAGGGUAAUAUGGACUUCUCUCAAACUAUAUUACCAGAGGACAAUGAGGGCCUUGGAAGACAAUGACAGCGAUGAGUUUCUCCCGGUUCUGUUUUGUUGUAGGUGAAGUUCUUAAUUAUAAUUAUCAAUGUGUUUGUUUUUCCUAAGGAUGCAGUGACAUGCAAGGUGAGGCAAAUUGAAGCCAAAACAGUAGGACGGUCGGAAGUGUGCCAUUUUUUCUAUAUAGGGAAUCUUCAGGGAAUCAAGCGGUAGCACCGGAUGCUGACAUGCAUGGAAGCGCAUGACGAGGUGGGGUCUUAUAGCGGGAAAUCGAGAGUGAAGGAGAGAGUCCAAUAGGAAAAGUGAAGGGUGCGUCAUGGGGUGGAGUGGAGUUUUUCUAUUGGGUUGGAAUGACAACUUUGCUUGAUAGCUGCCUGGGAUAGACAGUAACAUCUCAUCAUGCAACAUGCCAGUUGGGGAACUGAGUGCGGUAGCGGAGCUGUGGGAGUGGUGGACAUGCAAUGAGGGAAGGACAAAGAAUAGAGGAUUAGGAAGGACGGAUGGAGGUGUCGGAGCUGAGAGAAAAGAGGGAAAUACCGAAGGGAGCUGGCAUGGAAAGAAAGCGAAGUUGUGCCCCAAGGUUAGAGUGUGAUCGUGCUAUAAAUGUUACCUUUUAUCAAUGCUCGUGUUCAUUCUCGAAGGCUCCACACAAUCAUUGUGAAGGAAGAUGGCAAACUCAUUGAGGACAAUCAUUGUGGUGAUUUCUAAGCUCAAUUUCUGGUGGAGUAGUCUCAUGACAAAUUAAGAGGACAACCCAUGAGUAACUCAUAAAUUUAUAAAAUCACCUUGUUUUUUCAUGCAUAUUCAUGUUACCUACAAACGUUAGAUGUGAUUGAUUUAGGGAAGAAACAAUGGAAGAGAUGGUGGUUUUGCAAUGUAAAAUAUAUGUCUGAAUCAAGUAUUGUUUAUUUAA